AUUACAAAGGAGCCAGUUGCUCAGGGAACCAGGGAACCUUGUGGGAGGGGCCUCACUCCUCAGCUCAUGCAUAAAAGGAAAUUAAGACCAGACCCAAGUUUCUGGAAUUUUACAUAGAUUCUCAGAUCUGGGCUGAUGGCAAAAUAUCUUUAGACAACGAUGAAAGACAUGUCAUGAUCGUUUGGAAAACCCUGGGAGUCUUCUGUGUGCUCCAGCCUCACCGGUUUAUUGUUUGCUGAAUCAGUGCCCCCCAGCCCCCCGACUCAGACCAAGAGCCCUCCACGGGGAAGAAUCCCAGGCCUUAGGACCUCGCUGCUGCACCAUCAGUUACCUGAAAGUUCACACCCCUGCAGAAGCUACAACUGUGGGAUAGCCUGUGGACUUCCACAGACUGGGUCAGCCCACGGACCCAGGCAUCCUUUUUCUCCGUGUCUGGUUCCCAUAGUGAAGCAGCAUAUCCACUAGCUUUUGCUCGUUUUACAUCAAAUCCACAUAAAUGGCUCAGUGUAAUAAACAAUGACAACAACUCUGGAAUAAUCAUUAAAAUAUACUGGAAAAGCCUUCUGACGGCAAUAUUCCAAUACACUCGUUGUCAUCGUUGUUGUUGUUGCUGUUGUCAUCAUCGUUGCUGUCAUUGUCGUCCUAGUUCGGCAAAACUGUCGGAGAGUGAGCGAGUCGGCCUGACAGGGUUUCACCAUCGAGUGGGUUGUCUCCACGGAGGCCCUAAGAUAGCUGCAGAGUUGUACUCCAUCUGUGGCCUCUCGACGCCCCAUCCUGCUGCUGCUGCGCACAGCAGGUGCGCUUCCAAAGCCCAUGACGGGUUGGUCGUGUGGCCCCAGAAAUUCGCAGCACUGGACGGGGUACCCGGUGCGCGACACUCGCCGACUAAAGGAUGUCCACGUGGAUUCAUCUACUAACCUGAGAGCCAGCAUACUGGAGGCAUCCCGACACUGCUCCGCUGCAGAUCUUACCAUUAAAGACUCCUUACAUGAGGUGGUAAUUGUCUUCUUAAUGUAAUUAUGCCCAGAAGGGAAAUGUACCGUAGUAUUAACCAUUGGCAACUCUUCCUGUAUUAGUUUGUAUUUCAUCAAAUUAAGGACUUUUUUUUUUACAUUAUUUAAUUAAUUAAUUAAUUAAUUAAUUUAUUUAUU
Molecule: long non-coding RNA, 1151 nt
Organism: Vulpes vulpes (red fox)
Lineage: Eukaryota; Metazoa; Chordata; Mammalia; Carnivora; Canidae
Source: Ensembl